Zalophus californianus (California sea lion) is the source of this 672-nucleotide long non-coding RNA. RefSeq lists it as uncharacterized. The transcript has 3 exons. The record is from RefSeq and is a predicted model, not a curated record. NCBI's taxonomy places the organism in Eukaryota, Metazoa, Chordata, Mammalia, Carnivora, Otariidae.
GGCUUGGGGGAUAGGUGGUGAUCUUUAAGUCGUCCCUUUCCUUUAUAUAUUGUCACCAUAGCCAGAGUCGUAAGAGCCUUUCAUGUACCUAUCCUGCUUAGCCACAGUCUGCCUAGCUGCCUGACAUCCUAAAUGAGGUGCCAAGAGACAUGGCUGCAUAUGGUGAUGCUUUAUUUGCCACUUGGUCACAGGGACCAUUUUACAGUAUGUUACGAGAGCCAGGCUGGAUGAAUGCAACAGUCCUAAUGAUAAUCAGAAGCUUCAGGUAACACCAAGAGCUUGUUAAGGCCCAAGGGACUCAUUUAUACAUUUGAAGACACUUCAAACUAUGCGGUGAGUUACAUUUCUUUCUGAAGCAUUAAGUGAUUACAAUCCAUAUCUGAGGGAAAAAAGGACAUGGCGAUGAUGUUUUCAGAAGCUGAUCUCCAUGGCUAAAGGGAAUAUCUCCCCCUGCAUGAAAACCUCCUUGAGGAAUGAUUAAGCAAGCUGUUUUCAUCUACACUGAGUCACUUUCAGCAGACCUCUAACUGUGAGCAAAGAAUUGUGAAGACUGUUCUAGAGAGAAAUCAGCACAGUUCGACCAAGCCAGCCUGUAAAUGUACUUCCUUGCCCCUCUACAAACCAGCGUCUUUCAGUUAACACAGCUUUCAAAAGCAGUUGAUAUAAAUCACA